UACGGAGGGUGCAAGCGUUAUCCGGAUUCACUGGGUUUAAAGGGUGCGUAGGUGGGCAGUUAAGUCAGUGGUGAAAUCUCCGGGCUCAACCCCGGAAACUGCCAAUUGAUACUAUCUGUCUUGAAUAUCGUGGAGGUAAGCGGAAUAUGUCAUGUAGCGGUGAAAUGCUUAGAUAUGACAUAGAACACCAAUUGCGAAGGCAGCUUACUACCCGAAUAUUGACACUGAGGCACGAAAGCGUGGGGAUCAAACAGGAUUGAGACUACCGUGUCAGUCCAAGACCAGUCUCUCG
Molecule: ribosomal RNA, 292 nt
Filed under: uncultured bacterium
Lineage: Bacteria
Description: partial 16S ribosomal RNA
Rfam family: Bacterial small subunit ribosomal RNA
Source: RNAcentral